Non-coding RNA from Hordeum vulgare subsp. vulgare (domesticated barley), 125 nucleotides. NCBI's taxonomy places the organism in Eukaryota, Viridiplantae, Streptophyta, Magnoliopsida, Poales, Poaceae. The record is from Rfam.
AAUCUACUCCUUUCGUCCGAAAAUACUUGUCAUAAGAAUGGAUGUAUCUAGAUGUAUUUCAGUUCUAGAUACAUCUAUUUUUAUCAAUUUGUGCGACAACUAAUUCCAUACAGAGGGAGUAGUUU